RNAcentral lists this microRNA precursor (62 nucleotides) under Python bivittatus (Burmese python). Its description in RNAcentral is "Pbv-Mir-181-P1c_pre stem-loop". It matches the Rfam family "mir-181 microRNA precursor family", at positions 12 to 73 of the family's 83-position model. Rfam says of the family: In this case the mature sequence comes from the 5' arm of the precursor. The extents of the hairpin precursors are not generally known and are estimated based on hairpin prediction. The record is from RNAcentral. Lineage: Eukaryota; Metazoa; Chordata; Lepidosauria; Squamata; Pythonidae.
AACAUUCAACGCUGUCGGUGAGUUUUGUCAGUGGGAUUAAACCAUCGACUGUUGAGUGUACC